RNAcentral lists this ribosomal RNA (219 nucleotides) under uncultured bacterium. Its description in RNAcentral is "partial 16S ribosomal RNA". It matches the Rfam family "Bacterial small subunit ribosomal RNA", at positions 524 to 740 of the family's 1533-position model. The record is from RNAcentral.
UACGGAGGAUGCGAGCGUUAUCCGGAUUUAUUGGGUUAAAGGGUGCGUAGGCGGACUACCAAGUCAGCGGUAAAAUUGCGGGGCUCAACCCCGUCGAGCCGUUGAAACUGGCGGUCUUGAGUGGGCGAGAAGUAUGCGGAAUGCGUGGUGUAGCGGUGAAAUGGCGAUAGAGUAUCACGCAGAACUCCGAUUGACGAAGGCAGCGUACCGGCGCCCAAC